GUGUCAGCAGCCGCGGUAAGACGUAGGGGGCGAGCGUUGUCCGGAUUUAUUGGGCGUAAAGCGCGCGUAGGCGGCCGCUCAAGUCGGGUGUGAAAACCCGGGGCUCAACCCCGGGCCUGCAUUCGAUACUGGGUGGCUAGAGGCAGGCAGGGGAGAGUGGAAUUCCUGGUGUAGCGGUGAAAUGCGCAGAUAUCAGGAGGAACACCGGUGGCGAAGGCGGCUCUCUGGGCCUGUCCUGACGCUCAGGCGCGAAAGCUAGGGGAGCAAACAGGAUUAGAAACCCUGGUAGUCC
This 292-nucleotide ribosomal RNA is filed under the name uncultured bacterium. Its description in RNAcentral is "partial 16S ribosomal RNA". It matches the Rfam family "Bacterial small subunit ribosomal RNA", at positions 505 to 796 of the family's 1533-position model. The record is from RNAcentral.